RNAcentral lists this ribosomal RNA (482 nucleotides) under uncultured bacterium. RNAcentral's name for it is "partial 16S ribosomal RNA". It matches the Rfam family "Bacterial small subunit ribosomal RNA", at positions 30 to 507 of the family's 1533-position model. The record is from RNAcentral.
AUUGAACGCUGGCGGCAUGCCUUACACAUGCAAGUCGAACGGUAACGGGCCUUCGGGUGCCGACGAGUGGCGAACGGGUGAGUAAUACAUCGGAACGUGCCCGAUCGUGGGGGAUAACGAGGCGAAAGCUUUGCUAAUACCGCAUACGAUCUACGGAUGAAAGCAGGGGACCGCAAGGCCUUGCGCGGACGGUGCGGCCGAUGGCAGAUUAGGUAGUUGGUGGGAUAAAAGCUUACCAAGCCGACGAUCUGUAGCUGGUCUGAGAGGAUGAUCAGCCACACUGGGACUGAGACACGGCCCAGACUCCUACGGGAGGCAGCAGUGGGGAAUUUUGGACAAUGGGCGCAAGCCUGAUCCAGCCAUGCCGCGUGCAGGAUGAAGGCCUUCGGGUUGUAAACUGCUUUUGUACGGAACGAAAAGCCUUCUUUUAAUACAGGAGGGUCAUGACGGUACCGUAAGAAUAAGCACCGGCUAACUACGUG